Molecule: long non-coding RNA, 1079 nt
Organism: Bombus terrestris (buff-tailed bumblebee)
Lineage: Eukaryota; Metazoa; Arthropoda; Insecta; Hymenoptera; Apidae
Exons: 2
Source: RefSeq, a predicted model, not a curated record
ACUAAAAAACACAAAUAUUAUACAGCAUAUGCAAAGAUUUAUCAGCUUUUGCCAGUUUAUUUAAUGUACGUAAUCAAACAAAAAUGUUAUAUAUACAUAGCCAUAUAAAGCUUUAUUAAAAAGUUAAAACAAAAAUUCAAAAUACAAGGGGACUAGUAAGAAACUCGUUAUCACUAUGCUAUAAAAUAACAGUAGAUACAGCACCUUGUAAUAAGGCUUCAAUUGAUUUAUACUUAUGAAGCAUUUUUUGCUUGAUAAUAGCCAUAAAAUAUAUUCACAAAGGUCGGCUGUUUAUACUUGUAGAGUGAAAUAUAGGUUAAACGUCUAAGACAUUUUAAUGAGGUUAUGCUUACUUUCGUAGUAUAAUAAUGAAAAUUGUAAAUCUUAAUGCUCUAUAUGAAGAAAAUUUAGCCUCUUGCCUUAUGAUUUAAGUUCCAAUAGUGUGUGCCAUAAACAACAAGAUCAGUCACAUGUCAAACCAAUUUAUGAUUUGGCUGAGUGUUCGUGUCUUUUUGUAAAUGCAUGUGUACAGGCACAAUUAAUUUUACUUUGCAGGAUGUUUGAUAAAUAAAUACUACCAACUGAUCAUUGAACAAGUAAGAUUUAUUAUCUUGAAGUCAAUAAUAAAUCUAAUAAAUCAAUAACAUUUUUAUUACAAUUUCUAAAAAAACAUAUUUUAAAUUAUGAACGUCUUGAAAAAAUUUACAAAAAUUUAAUAAUCUUCAAUCGUGUGAUAUCUUUCAAAGCGUAUUGGUACAUGUAAUGCAACUUUACAUCUUUUGCACUCCCACGUUGUUUCACUACGUUUUUUAUGUUUUGUGCAUGCUUUACAAGCUCUUGGUGGCUUUGAUUUCGAUGGUGUUGGAUCUAUAUGCUUGGGAAAAUGACCCCAAUGUUUUCCAUGCAGUCUCUUUGGUAAAUCUCCAUUCGAUAAUCGUCCUUUUCGUAUAUAUUCUGGUAAUGGUACAUUUUUUUAGUAAUGAUUGGGCUAUUUCAAUUCUAUAUUCAGCAUAAGUCUGUUUUUUGUGAGUAUUUAUUUUGUUGAAUAAAAUGUACGAGUUAAACAGAGCAAUAUCAAA